This 227-nucleotide long non-coding RNA is filed under the name Lathyrus oleraceus (garden pea). RNAcentral describes it as "Pisum sativum (pea) long non-coding RNA (PSAT_LNC002052)". The record is from RNAcentral. Lineage: Eukaryota; Viridiplantae; Streptophyta; Magnoliopsida; Fabales; Fabaceae.
UUCCAUUGUCGUAGAGGGAUACUUUCAAAUAUCCAGCAUCAUCAUCUACGCGAGUGAGGCUUGACGACAAUAGAGCAUCUCCAUCUAAACAAAUAUCCAGCAUCAUCAUUUUACCUGUAAAAAAGAAAACAAUUAAAAUCAGAUGACAAAUGUAAAAACAAUUAAAUCAUAAAAGUCAUUUUACCUGUAAUAAAGAAAACAAUUAAAUCAUUUGACCUGUACCUUUU